CCUACGGGAGGCAGCAGUGAGGAAUAUUGGUCAAUGGACGAGAGUCUGAACCAGCCAAGUAGCGUGAAGGAUGACUGCCCUAUGGGUUGUAAACUUCUUUUAUAUGGGAAUAAAAUGUUCCACGUGUGGGAUUUUGUAUGUACCAUAUGAGUAAGGAUCGGCUCACUCAGUGCCAGCAGCGGCGGUAAUACGGGGGAUCCGAGCGUUAUCCGGAUUUAUUGGGGUUAAAGGGAGCGUAGGUGGAUUGUUAAGUCAGUUGUGAAAGUUUGCGGCUCAACCGUAAAAUUGCAGUUGAAACUGGCAGGCUUGAGUACAGUAGAGGUGGGCAGAAUUCGUGGUGUAGCGGUGAAAUGCUUAGAUAUCACGAAGAACUCCGAUGGCGAAGGCAGUUCACUGGACUGCAACUGACACUGAGGUGCGAAAGUGUGGGUAUCAAACAGGAUUAGAUACCCGGGUAGUC
Molecule: ribosomal RNA, 460 nt
Filed under: uncultured bacterium
Lineage: Bacteria
Description: partial 16S ribosomal RNA
Rfam family: Bacterial small subunit ribosomal RNA
Source: RNAcentral